This 407-nucleotide ribosomal RNA is filed under the name uncultured bacterium. Its description in RNAcentral is "partial 16S ribosomal RNA". It matches the Rfam family "Bacterial small subunit ribosomal RNA", at positions 30 to 526 of the family's 1533-position model. The record is from RNAcentral.
AUUGAACGCUGGCGGCAGGCCUAACACAUGCAAGUCGAGCGGAUCGGCGGACGGGUGAGUAAUGCUUAGGUAUCUGCCUGGUAGUGGGGGAUGACGUUCGGAAACGGGCGCUAUUACCGCAUCCUCUCAGAUGAGCCUAGGUGGGAUUAGCUAGUUGGUGGGGUAAAGGCCUACCAAGGCGACGAUCCGUAACUGGUCUGAGAGGAUGAUCAGUCACACUGGAACUGAGACACGGUCCAGACUCCUACGGGAGGCAGCAGUGGGGAAUAUUGGACAAUGGGCGAAAGCCUGAUGCAGCCAUGCCGCGUGUAUGAAGAAGGUCUUCGGAUUGUAAAGCACUUUAAGUUGGGAGGCGUUACCAACAGAAUAAGCACCGGCUAACUUCGUGCCAGCAGCCGCGGUAAUAC